RNAcentral lists this ribosomal RNA (488 nucleotides) under uncultured bacterium. RNAcentral's name for it is "partial 16S ribosomal RNA". It matches the Rfam family "Bacterial small subunit ribosomal RNA", at positions 28 to 504 of the family's 1533-position model. The record is from RNAcentral.
GAUGAACGCUGGCUACAGGCUUAACACAUGCAAGUCGAGGGGAAACGACGGGGAAGCUUGCUUCCCCGGGCGUCGACCGGCGCACGGGUGAGUAACGCGUAUCCAACCUGCCUCUGACUGAGGGAUAACCCGUCGAAAGUCGGCCUAAUACCUCAUGGCAUCGUCUGCGGGCAUCCAACGACGAUUAAAGAUUUCAUCGGUCAGGGAUGGGGAUGCGUCUGAUUAGCUUGUUGGCGGGGUAACGGCCCACCAAGGCUACGAUCAGUAGGGGUUCUGAGAGGAAGGUCCCCCACAUUGGAACUGAGACACGGUCCAAACUCCUACGGGAGGCAGCAGUGAGGAAUAUUGGUCAAUGGGCGGGAGCCUGAACCAGCCAAGUAGCGUGCAGGAUGACGGCCCUAUGGGUUGUAAACUGCUUUUAUGCGGGGAUAAAGUGAGGGACGUGUCCUUCAUUGCAGGUACCGCAUGAAUAAGGACCGGCUAAUUCC